RNAcentral lists this long non-coding RNA (1813 nucleotides) under Marmota monax (woodchuck). The record is from RNAcentral. Lineage: Eukaryota; Metazoa; Chordata; Mammalia; Rodentia; Sciuridae.
GUGCAGCUCACUGUCCUUGGUAAAUUCCAAUUGCUGCUGAUUCUGAAUCUCCAGGACCCAUGUGACAUGUGAAAAAAUGUUCCUAAACUUCUACGAUCUUCCUAAUCUAGAAGCUGGUGUGGCCUGGUGGAUGGCUGGUGCUCAGGGCGGCGGGGUGACUGGAUCAAGUGGAUAUCAUUUCCUGAGCAUCUCCCAAGCCAGCUUUAGUUACAUUGAUGUAUUCAUUUAUCUAUUUUGGUACUAGGGGUUGAACCCAGGGGUGUUUUACCCUGAAGCUACAUCCCCAGACUUUAAAAAAAAAUUUUUGUCAUAGGGUCUUGCCAACUUGCUGAGGAUGGCCUUGAACUUUCGAUCCUCCUGCCUCCGCCUCCUGAGUCCCUGGGCUCAAGGCAUGCGCUGCCACAUCAUUGCAUUUAUUACCCUUUAAUCAAGUAGCAGCAUUCUUCCUGGCAUUCCAGGAAGAGAUGUAAGAAGGUCACCUCUCAUCAGAGGCCAUUCUGCUUCUCCAGGCUUCCCUUCCCGCGUCCUCAGCCUGGGGCACUCGGAGGAAAUGCGCCACAGCAGGCCAUCUCUGGUCUGUAGCUGUCAGCCCUAUUCCUUGAUCCCCCCAGUCCUCCAGUCCUGCUGCAGCUGGCUCAGCCUUCCCCUGGAGCCGGUGUGGUCCGUGCUCCUCCAGGGCCUGAUCUCUGGGCUCUCUGGGGCACCUCUGGAGAGGUGGCAGCUGUGGAUCUGCUGCCCCUGAGGGGGAGGGAAGCAGGGCCGCCCCUCCCAUCGGGCCUGUGCUCCUCGGUUGCAGUUCUGGGAAAUGACCAGGUCUGAGGAGGAAGCGGGAGCCGUGGGUUGGCAGUGCCACGCGGCUGUGGGCCCAAGGUCUUCCUGGCCAGGGUGCUUGAGGACAGGAAGUGGCGAGGGUGUGGCCUCAGACCUGGGCUUGGCAGGGAGGAUGGGAUCCAGUCUGCAGGUCAUUCCUGUGUUUGAGAAAAGAUGCUAACUGGCCUCGCAGGAUGAUUAUUCCUGGGCUUGCUGCCAUCCGAGUGGCUCUGUAAGGUGACAUGGUGGUUAGUGACACUCAGGCCCGGGGACAAGCGCACAGAGUUCUGGUUUGGCAUUCCGUCUCCCUCCAGGGGUGAGUUUUCUUCCUCUUCUUAUGGGACAGUUAAGGUUUACAUUUUCUUUUUACCGCUGAAUCUAAUUUAAUUGUGGGUUAUUUUAUUUUAUUUUUUUGUAUAUGUGCCCAGAAUUUUGGGGUUAUUGGUAAACUUUAAAAAAUACCACAGCACAUGUAAACAUAUAUAAUUUAAGAACCAGUCCUGACUGAGGCCAUGCUAUCCUUUGGAAAAUUCUUACUUGGAAGCAAUUCUAAUUAACAAGGCAUUUUCUGGUUUACUUCUUGCAUGCUCUGUUAAUAAUAAAAAGAUAGUAUCUUUUUUCCUCCUAUGAUUUAAUUUUUCCCUGUUCUGUUUCUCAAGAACCAACUCUAUUAUGGUUACCUUUAAUAAAAAAAUGUGGCUAACUUACGAUAACAAACAGCCAACAAGACAGAGAUAAGAAGAGUUGGGCCCUUAAAAGUCCGAAUUUUCCAGAUGUUCUUUUAUAAUAAAUGCAGUGAAAACGAAUUGCAGAGAAACCGCAUGAAACUACAAUUGGUUUAUUCAAAAGAAUCUCACCACUUAAAGAACAUAUCCCCUUCUUUUUUAAAAAAGGAUAUUGGGUUGGGGCUGGGGAUGUGGCUCAAGCGGUAGCACGCUCGCCUGGCAUGCGUGCGGCCCGGGUUCGAUCCUCAGCACCACAUACAAACAGAGAUGUUUGUUUG